RNAcentral lists this ribosomal RNA (420 nucleotides) under uncultured bacterium. Its description in RNAcentral is "partial 16S ribosomal RNA". It matches the Rfam family "Bacterial small subunit ribosomal RNA", at positions 362 to 774 of the family's 1533-position model. The record is from RNAcentral.
UUUUGGACAAUGGGGGAAACCCUGAUCCAUCCAUUCCGCGUGUAUGAUGAAGGCUUUAGGUUUGUAAAGUACUUUUGGCAGAGAAGAAAAGGGACCUCCUCAUACGAGGUACUGCUGACGGUAUCUGCCGCUUAAGCCCCGGCUAACUACAUGCCAGUAGCCGCGGUAAUACGUAGGGUUCACGCGUUAAUCGGAAUUACUGGGCGUAAAGCGUGUGUAGGCGGUUCGGAAAGAAAGAUGUGAAAUCCCAGGGCUCAACCUUGGAACAGCAUUUUUAACUGCCGAGCUAGAGUAUGUCAGAGGGGGGUAGAAUUCCACGUGUAGCAGUGAAAUGCGUAGAUAUGUGGAGGAAUACCGAUGGCGAAGGCAGCCCCCUGGGAUAAUACUGACGCUCAGACACGAAAGCGUGGGGAGCAAACA